RNAcentral lists this transfer RNA (72 nucleotides) under Camelus bactrianus (Bactrian camel). It matches the Rfam family "tRNA". Rfam says of the family: Transfer RNA (tRNA) molecules are approximately 80 nucleotides in length. Their secondary structure includes four short double-helical elements and three loops (D, anti-codon, and T loops). Lineage: Eukaryota; Metazoa; Chordata; Mammalia; Artiodactyla; Camelidae. RNAcentral also lists the same sequence under 2 other names. The record is from Rfam by way of RNAcentral.
GAGGGUAUAGCUCAGUGGCAGAGCACAUGCAUAGCAUACAUGAGGUCCUGGGUUCAAUCCCCACUACCUCCA